GGGAAGGUGGCUCAGUGGUAGAGUGCUUGCCUUGCAUGCAUGACGCCCUGGGUUCGAUUCCUCACCACCACA
Molecule: transfer RNA, 72 nt
Filed under: Dipodomys ordii (Ord's kangaroo rat)
Lineage: Eukaryota; Metazoa; Chordata; Mammalia; Rodentia; Heteromyidae
Rfam family: tRNA
About the family: Transfer RNA (tRNA) molecules are approximately 80 nucleotides in length. Their secondary structure includes four short double-helical elements and three loops (D, anti-codon, and T loops).
Source: Rfam by way of RNAcentral